AGAGUUUGAUCAUGGCUCAGAUUGAACGCUGGCGGCAGGCUUAACACAUGCAAGUCGAACGGUAACAGGAGAAAGCUUGCUUUCUUGCUGACGAGUGGCGGACGGGUGAGUAAUGCUUGGGAAUCUGGCUUAUGGAGGGGGAUAACUACGGGAAACUGUAGCUAAUACCGCGUAAUAUCUUCGGAUUAAAGGGUGGGACUUUCGGGCCACCUGCCAUAAGAUGAGCCCAAGUGGGAUUAGGUAGUUGGUGGGGUAAAGGCCUACCAAGCCGACGAUCUCUAGCUGGUCUAAGAGGAUGACCAGCCACACUGGAACUGAGACACGGUCCAGACUCCUACGGGAGGCAGCAGUGGGGAAUAUUGCACAAUGGGGGGAACCCUGAUGCAGCCAUGCCGCGUGAAUGAAGAAGGCCUUCGGGUUGUAAAGUUCUUUCGGUGAUGAGGAAGGUGUUUGUUUUAAUAGAACAAGCAAUUGACGUUAGUCACAGAAGAAGCACCGGCUAACUCCGUGCCAGCAGCCGCGGUAAUACGGAGGGUGCGAGCGUUAAUCGGAAUGACUGGGCGUAAAGGGCACGCAGGCGGUGACUUAAGUGAGAUGUGAAAGCCCCGAGCUUAACUUGGGAAUUGCAUUUCAUACUGGGUCGCUAGAGUAUUUUAGGGAGGGGUAGAAUUCCACGUGUAGCGGUGAAAUGCGUAGAGAUGUGGAGGAAUACCGAAGGCGAAGGCAGCCCCCUGGGAAUAUACUGACGCUCAUGUGCGAAAGCGUGGGGAGCAAACAGGAUUAGAUACCCUGGUAGUCCACGCUGUAAACGCUGUCGAUUUGGGGAUUGGGCUUAGAGCUUGGUGCCCGUAGCU
RNAcentral lists this ribosomal RNA (854 nucleotides) under uncultured bacterium. RNAcentral's name for it is "bacterial SSU rRNA". It matches the Rfam family "Bacterial small subunit ribosomal RNA", at positions 8 to 853 of the family's 1533-position model. The record is from RNAcentral.